Long non-coding RNA from Gallus gallus (chicken), 2075 nucleotides. The record is from Ensembl. NCBI's taxonomy places the organism in Eukaryota, Metazoa, Chordata, Aves, Galliformes, Phasianidae.
UAUAGGGGGAGGAACUUCAGUCACAGUCUGUUCUGAAUAAAUUUGUGUGUAAAUUUACUGGGUGAAUCAUAGAAUCAUCUCAUCCAGCCAUUAACCCAUCUCCAUCGUGCCCACUAAACCAUGGCCCUCCGUGCCACAUUUCCUAGUUCCUUGCAUGCUUCUGGUGACAGCAACCCCAGCGCUUCCCUGGGCAGCUUGUUUCUAUGAAUUAACGCUCUUUCUGAGAAGAAAUUUUUCCUAAUAUCCAACCUGAGUCUCCUCUGGCAAAACCCAAGGCCAUUACCUCUUGUCCUAUUGCAGUUACCUGGGAGAAGAGGCCAGCACUCACCUCACCACAACCUCCUUUCAACUACUUGUACAGGGCACCAAGGUCUCCCCAGUUCCCUCAGCUGAUCCCCAUGAGACAUGCUCCAGGCCCCUCAUGGUGUCAUUGCCCUUCUCUGUACAUGCUCCCAGGCCUCCAUGUCUUUCUUAUAGUGAGGGGUGCAAAACAACUAUAGUGCUUGAGGUGCAGCCUCACCUGUGCCAAGAGACAUGAUCAUCUCCUUGUUCUGCUGACUGCACUGUUUCUGAUACAAGCCAGGAUGGUGUUGUCCUUCUUGGGCAUGCUGCUGGCUCAUGCUUAGCCAGCUGUCAAUACCCCUUAGAGCCAUUCCGUCUGCAGUUUUCCAACCACUCUGCCCCAGGCCUGUAGUGAUGCAUGAGGUUGUUGCGACCAAAGUGCAGGAACUUGGUCUUGUUGAACCUUGUAAAGCUGGCCUCAGUCCAUCAAUUCAACUGAUCCAGAUUCCUCUGUGGAGCCCUUCCUACCCUCAGGUAGAUCAACACUUUCUCCCAAGUUGGUGCCAUCUGCAAAGUAACUGAGAGUGCACUCAAUCCCCUCACCCGAAUCACCAAUAAACAGGACAGGCCCCAGUACCAACCCCUGAUGAGUACCAUUAAUGAUCAGUUUCCAGCAGAAUUAAACUCCAUUCGCCACCACUCUCUGGGCCUGGCCGGCCAGCCAGCCAGAUCCUUACAUUCUGUCUUAUUCCUCUAUCCCAGCAUGCUAAUGCUGCUGGGACAGUAUUCAUACAACAAAUAACAGUCAAGGUGUCUGCUGCAAAACAGAUGGAAUAUGUGGCCUCUGAAUUCAGGCUGCUUCCAGGGCAACAUAAUAGCCAGAUCUUAGAAAGCUUUAGCCUUCACCUAUAGCUCAGCCCACUAUUAAAUGUUGUGAAUAUUCCCUUUGACUCUUUCAUGCUGCACUAAAUUGGCUGGCUGGAAAAGAACCCUGUGUUCCUACUCUUCGAAGCCUGGAAUUUAAUGGAGCAAAGGGCUCCAGGAGUUAUAGUCACAUACUUGCCUACUGUAAAUGGGCUUUAUAAGACUUCAUCAAGACUAACAUGUUGAUAGCUUUUGUAGUAUGGUUUCUAACAAAUAAGAUCUGCCAGUCAGAAAUAUGGGAGACAGUCUAUUUUCGUGUAAUUAGUUACAGGGCUGAUGUCUCAGUAUGACCUAUGAUGAUGUUACAGAGGAAGCAUCUUUUACAUUAGAUGCCACCAAAGGAGCGGACAAUUUGUAUUUCGUAGAAGACUACGUGGCUCUGGGCCGGUUUUAUUAACUGCAUUUUUCUGUAUCCAAGGUGCUUUUGUGGUUUAACUUGGAGAUGACUCUUGCUUCUCCACAAAGAUUGCUCAGGCUGCCAGCCUGAGUUGAGUUUAUAGAAAUCUGAAAGCUUCCUGAGUGAGAACCAGAACCAUUGCUCUGUCCUCUCCUGUUACAGAUCAAGAGAACGUUGAGCGUCUUUUUGCCAUAGCAUUUCUUGAUAACUAGAGAAUUUUAAUUGGAAAAGGGAACAAGGCCAGUGCCCUUCUUGGCCUGAAUAUGUUCAAAUCACCUGUUUGUGGGCAAGUAGCCAUACCACACAAUUAUGAGUGUGGAGCCUUAGGGAAAGAUGCCUUGUCCAAUUGAAUGUGAUGGGAUUUGCAUCCAUACAUCUCCAAGCACAAACGCCAUUUUUUCCGUGUCUGCUCAUAUGCCAUUGUCAAAGAAGGAUGCCACUCUGUAUUCUGGGUUUUUCUUUGUUUACCUUU